This 73-nucleotide transfer RNA is filed under the name Vibrio phage pVp-1. It matches the Rfam family "tRNA". From Rfam's summary of the family: Transfer RNA (tRNA) molecules are approximately 80 nucleotides in length. Lineage: Duplodnaviria; Heunggongvirae; Uroviricota; Caudoviricetes; Demerecviridae. RNAcentral also lists the same sequence under 2 other names. The record is from Rfam by way of RNAcentral.
GGGGAAUUAGCUCAGUUGGGAGAGCAGGGUCUUUGCAAGGCUCAGGUCAUCGGUUCGAGUCCGAUAUUCUCCA